RNAcentral lists this ribosomal RNA (1025 nucleotides) under uncultured bacterium. Its description in RNAcentral is "bacterial SSU rRNA". It matches the Rfam family "Bacterial small subunit ribosomal RNA", at positions 353 to 1371 of the family's 1533-position model. The record is from RNAcentral.
AGUGGGGAAUAUUGCACAAUGAGGGAAACCUUGAUGCAGCCAUGCCGCGUGUGUGAAGAAGGCCCGAGGGUUGUAAAGCACUUUCAAUUGUGAGGAAGAUUAAGUAGCUAAUAUCUGCUUAAUUUGACGUUAACUUUAGAAGAAGCACCGGCUAACUCUGUGCCAGCAGCCGCGGUAAUACAGAGGGUGCAAGCGUUAUUCGGAAUUACUGGGCGUAAAGCGCGCGUAGGCGGACUGUUAAGUCGGUUGUGAAAGCCCUGGGCUCAACCUAGGAACUGCAUCCGAUACUGGCAAUCUAGAGUUUAAGAGAGGGAAGUGGAAUUCCAGGUGUAGCAGUGAAAUGCGUAGAUAUCUGGAGGAACAUCAGUGGCGAAGGCGACUUCCUGGCUUAAAACUGACGCUGAGGUGCGAAAGCUUGGGUAGCGAACGGGAUUAGAUACCCCGGUAGUCCAAGCCGUAAACGAUGUCAACUAGCUGUUGGUCUUAUUAAAAAGAUUAGUAGCGUAGCUAACGCGAUAAGUUGACCGCCUGGGGAGUACGGUCGCAAGAUUAAAACUCAAAGGAAUUGACGGGGGCCCGCACAAGCGGUGGAGCAUGUGGUUUAAUUCGAUGCAACGCGAAGAACCUUACCAUCCCUUGACAUCCUGCGAACUUUCUAGAGAUAGAUUGGUGCCUUCGGGAACGCAGUGACAGGUGCUGCAUGGCUGUCGUCAGCUCGUGUCGUGAGAUGUUGGGUUAAGUCCCGCAACGAGCGCAACCCUUAUCAUUAGUUGCUAACAUUUAGUUGAGAACUCUAAUGAGACUGCCGGUGAUAAACCGGAGGAAGGCGGGGACGACGUCAAGUCAUCAUGGCCCUUAUGGGAUGGGCUACACACGUGCUACAAUGGGGGGUACAAAGAGCAGCCAACUGGCGACAGUGCGCGAAUCUCAUAAAACCUCUCGUAGUCCGGAUCGGAGUCUACAACUCGACUCCGUGAAGUCGGAAUCGCUAGUAAUCGUGAAUGAGAAUGUCACGGUGAAUACGU